GAUGAACGCGGGCGGCGUGCCUAAUACAUGCAAGUAGAACGCUGAAGCUUGGUGCUUGCACCGAGCGGAAGAGUUGCGAACGGGUGAGUAACGCGUAGGUAACCUGCCUCUUAGCGGGGGAUAACUAUUGGAAACGAUAGCUAAUACCGCAUAAAAGUCGACAUUGCAUGAUGUUGACUUGAAAGGUGCAACUGCAUCACUAAGAGAUGGACCUGCGUUGUAUUAGCUAGUUGGUGAGGUAACGGCUCACCAAGGCGACGAUACAUAGCCGACCUGAGAGGGUGAUCGGCCACACUGGGACUGAGACACGGCCCAGACUCCUACGGGAGGCAGCAGUAGGGAAUCUUCGGCAAUGGACGGAAGUCUGACCGAGCAACGCCGCGUGAGUGAAGAAGGUUUUCGGAUCGUAAAGCUCUGUUGUAAGAGAAGAACGAGUGUGAGAGUGGAAAGUUCACACUGUGACGGUAACUUACCAGAAAGGGACGGCUAACUACGUACCAGCAGCCGCGGUAAUACGUAGGUCCCGAGCGUUAUCCGGAUUUAUUGGGCGUAAAGCGAGCGCAGGCGGUUAGAUAAGUCUGAAGUUAAAGGCUGUGGCUUAACCAUAGUACGCUUUGGAAACUGUUUAACUUGAGUGCAGAAGGGGAGAGUGGAAUUCCAUGUGUAGCGGUGAAAUGCGUAGAUAUAUGGAGGAACACCGGUGGCGAAAGCGGCUCUCUGGUCUGUAACUGACGCUGAGGCUCGAAAGCGUGGGGAGCAAACAGG
RNAcentral lists this ribosomal RNA (765 nucleotides) under uncultured Streptococcus sp. RNAcentral describes it as "bacterial SSU rRNA". It matches the Rfam family "Bacterial small subunit ribosomal RNA", at positions 28 to 776 of the family's 1533-position model. Lineage: Bacteria; Bacillati; Bacillota; Bacilli; Lactobacillales; Streptococcaceae. The record is from RNAcentral.